Molecule: ribosomal RNA, 491 nt
Filed under: uncultured bacterium
Lineage: Bacteria
Description: partial 16S ribosomal RNA
Rfam family: Bacterial small subunit ribosomal RNA
Source: RNAcentral
AGUGAACGCUGGCGGUAGGCCUAACACAUGCAAGUCGAACGGCAGCACAGUAAGAGCUUGCUCUUACGGGUGGCGAGUGGCGGACGGGUGAGGAAUACAUCGGAAUCUACUUUUUCGUGGGGAUAACGUAGGGAAACUUACGCUAAUACCGCAUACGACCUACGGGUGAAAGCAGGGGAUCUUCGGACCUUGCGCGAUUGAAUGAGCCGAUGUCGGAUUAGCUAGUUGGCGGGGUAAAGGCCCACCAAGGCGACGAUCCGUAGCUGGUCUGAGAGGAUGAUCAGCCACACUGGAACUGAGACACGGUCCAGACUCCUACGGGAGGCAGCAGUGGGGAAUAUUGGACAAUGGGCGCAAGCCUGAUCCAGCCAUACCGCGUGGGUGAAGAAGGCCUUCGGGCUGUAAAGCCCUUUUGUUGGGAAAGAAAAGCAGCAGGUUAAUACCCCGCUGUUCUGACGGUACCCAAAGAAUAAGCACCGGCUAACUUCGUG